Molecule: long non-coding RNA, 719 nt
Organism: Triticum aestivum (bread wheat)
Lineage: Eukaryota; Viridiplantae; Streptophyta; Magnoliopsida; Poales; Poaceae
Exons: 2
Source: RefSeq, a predicted model, not a curated record
CAUCUUAUCUAAGCUAACCCCGUCGCGGGACAGAUAUAGAAGCGAUGGCUCGGCAAUUUAUCUGAGCCACCCUGAGCCGUAUGAAGUAAAGCCCCACACAGACGGAGUCGACACAGCUGGCAAUAUAAAUGCCUUGCCUUACCCACCUCCGCCCAUCCGCCCAACGCUCGCAUUCACUCUCCCCUCUCCCCAAUCUCUCCACUGCUCAGUCAUACCCAGCUUCAUCCUCAUCUCGGCCGCCAUGUCCGCAUCGUCUUCAUCCUCUCUCCCUGUCCCGGCGGAUUGGCUGCUCCCUCUGAUGGCAUGUCCACUCUGCGGCGACGAGCCGUCGCAAGGAGCGGGAACCAGGCGGGGCAACGCUUCUACAAGUGCAUCCGCUACUAUGCACGGCAGUUUGGUUUCUUUGAGUUCCAGCGUGCGUACUGAAGGAGGAUGACUCAUGAGCAGAUCGUCGCUGCACAGCACCAAGCCGGAUGGCACCCAGCCAGGCUUGGAUUUGCAGUCCAUCAGGGCAAUGCGGCUGCUCAAAUGGUUCAUGCUGCCAUCCAGCCCCAGAUCCAGCCGCAUGCGCAGCCGCAGAUCCAGGCCCCGGUGCAGCAGCUCCCGCCGGCGGUCAACAAUCUGAUAGCCAAUGCCAUCAGGACAUACAGCAAACAAGUCAAAAAUAGCCCAGCACUUGCCUUCUACAAGCAAUCAGUACAUAUGUUUAUUUUCCUUUA